Alosa sapidissima (American shad) is the source of this 534-nucleotide long non-coding RNA. RefSeq lists it as uncharacterized. Lineage: Eukaryota; Metazoa; Chordata; Actinopteri; Clupeiformes; Clupeidae. The record is from RefSeq and is a predicted model, not a curated record. The transcript has 3 exons.
AUGUGUCUGGACGCUUGUCUAGGCAUGUGUAAACCUACGUCCAGUACGUGUUUCUGGGGGAAGGUUAGGCAGAUUACCGUUUGAAAUGAAGAGAUUCUGACUGUGCACUGUACUACGGUUGAAGGAGUUAAAAGAGAACUGGACCCAAAAUCGAUGGAAGAAUAAAUACUGAAGCAGUCAGUUACACAAUAACGAUAGGGGAGGGCGAUGCCAACCGGCUUUGUCACCUUUAAUAACCUUCAGGAGCUGGACUACUCUGGCGUCAUCUGUUAGGAGGAAACAAUUCGGCCACGAUGCUAGCUACACCCUCACGUGGCGCACUGAGAGAGGAAAAACUGCGCUCAGAGUCAGGGGACUGCUGGAGCUGGACCGGACCCCUCGGUCAGCCAACGCGGCUCCACUUUCCCAUGAAGUUAAAGCUCUGCUUGAGUUCCCUGUGGCCCAUCGUACGGCUCCUCUCCCAGGGGGACAUCUGUUCUGUUAGCCCUUCAAAUAAACUGCUCUGUUCCUCUGUAUGUACUUUCACAACAUGGG